AAAUUUCAGUAUACAUAACCAGUCUUCCUUUUGUGUUUUCUUCAGGGUGACUGUAUUUCCUGGGAAUCUCACUUUUGAUAUCUUAAUCAUAGCAAAGCUCAAGGCUUACAAUCUCUCCUAGAAUAUGUCAAUCUUUCAUUUGUCACAGUUAGGAGAAUUUGGAUUCUGGACCUUUCUAGUGGUUUCUCUAAUUUGGAUUCUUUCAUGUCUUAACUCAUUUUCCUAAUUGAGAAAAGUUCACCAUUGAUAAAUUUAUUUGAAAAUUCGAAGUUCCUUUUAUGGAGAAGGCUUUUGCUUGGACUGAGGGAUUGAAUGGAAUCAAUAGUAGUGAUUCUUGCAUGAUCAAAUCUGAUGUAGUUAUAUUUUUAAUUUUACAUUGUUUGAUUGCUAAUCUUUUGUAGAAUAGCUAUGAAGCAUGGAUACCUCUUUUGUUCAAAGUGUUGCCAUGUUGGGCAAAUUCAUCUGAGGAAACACCUGUUUUGUCACCUUUAGUCCCAGUUUCAUUAUUGGGUAGUUCAAAAGGUGAAGACCAGAAGCAGAAAGUUGUUACUAAGCAAGUAAAAGUUCAAGCGGUAUUAAAGGCAAUAAAACAUAGUCCAAAGAAGGUCAACUUGGUUGCUGCUCUGGUUCGUGGUAUGCUUGUUAAAGAUGCAUUGAUGCAGUUGGAAUUGACAAUAAAACGAGCAGCAAAAACUGUAUAUCAGGGAAUUCUGAUCUCAAAUUGUCCACGGCUAUGCAGCGAAAUUCUUGACAAGUUGAACCACCCUUUUCUACCUGCAUUAUCUAUAUGCUUCCUUCCAGACCAAAACUCACGUUUGUUUGAUUACUAAUUAUUGUCCUGGAGGAGAACUAUUCCUGCUUCUUGAUCGGCAAUUCUGAGUUACCCAAUUCCGAGGAGAACUAUGUCCUGAAAGAGGAAUGCCGAGCUUCAAUUCUGAGUUACCCAAUUCCAAUUCAUGGGUUGAGGAUGUUGCAAGAGUCUGGGAUCCUUGCUGACCAGUACCCAGGGUUGAGGAUGUUACCAAGAGUCGAAGACCGUUGCUGCUAGAAUGUCAAGGUAAAGAGAAAUGUUGUUAGUUAGUAUCCUUUUAAGGUAAAAAAAAAAAGGAAGAUUUUACGUAUAAGCGGAGCUGCACAAAGGUACGUAGCAUUUAUGAUUUAACUGUUUGUUGGGUUGACUUGGUUUUCUUCAGUUUUGUAGAAGGUACUAAGAUGUAGGCAUGCUAGAUCCUUAUUGCUUGACUGUUGACUGUCCAAGCAUUCUGGUAAUACUGAUUUGAUAUGGCUUAUACUUAUUUCAAGCUUUCUGGUAAUACUCAUUUCAUAACGGCACUUAAAAUUUUUUCAGUUGGAUGGAAAGGCUACUUGUGUUUUACUGAUUUCAUAUGGCUUAUACUCAUUUCAUAUGAAAUUAACAAAUAUCUAGAAAUUUUGUUAAUGAAAGUCCGAUGACAUUUUAAAUCCAAUGUACAUCAUUCCACAGGAGACAAAGCUAUUGAUAUAAGGAGUAAGCACUACAUAGUAUAACCUAGGAUACAAAGCUAUUGAUAUUAGGAGUAAGCACUACACAUUGUGCUAUGAGGAGCACUUCAUGGAACAAGAAAGAAUUGCAAUAAAAUUCCAUUCUUAGCAUGUAAGUCACUUUUCUGAUCCAUUCUAUGUUAGUAUCACAUCACAACGUAGUCUGUAAUACAGAUGAAUAGGAAAGCAGGUAACUUAAUUUCCCAAAUGCUAGAGAGUUGGAAAAUUUAGGGCUGGCUCACCUUUGUCUAGGAAGAAAAUGGCAUUCUUACUUUUAAGUAUGCAAGAUGUUAUACAUAAAUAAUAACUCCAAAGAAAUACCUUUAAGAUCUCAAUGUUUGUUAAUUCAUUCGCCCUGUCGCUAAGCAAUCUUAGCAUCUGAAUAAACCUCUCAGCGUACAGAUUCACCAUUAGCUGGAAUAUGUCGUAUCUGCCUGAAUUAGAACAAAUAAAACAUGUACAUAAAGAAACCCUCUACCAAUAAACACUUGUUUAGAUUAAGUGAAAUGUGUAGUUUGACUCAGAUAGGCUCAAGCAUGGGUUUAGAAGAAAUUUCAAUUGUUGAAAUGUAUAGUAAGUCGUUCAUCUAGAGACAACAUAACAAAGUCACAAAUUUAUGCUGAAGAGGUCAUUUAAGUCUGCAAUAUUGAUAAAUGAAUGAUAACAAAUUCUCUCCCCAAAUCAUUUCUAAGAGAUUUAAAGAGGAUUAGGUGAUUGAAAAGCGUAGUAAAUUCAGUUUCAGAUGGCAAGUUUUCAAAAUUUCAUGACUCCUGACUGUGUGAACUGUGACUCCAUUUUGUAUAGUGCGUACUUAAGGUAAGGUUCAUAAUUUUUUAUAAUAUUUGUAGAUGGGGUGAUUCUUUUAAUUAUUUGUGAAAAAAUAAAUCAAAAGUCUAAGAAGAGAUUACUUUGUCUAUCCUAGUAAUUAUUUGUGAAAAAAUAUUCUUGUUAUAGCCUUUCUCUCAAUUCCCUUGCUCAAAAUAUGAACAAAACAAUACAGAUGAGUUGUGUAACUUUAUAAGUCAUCGGUAUUUGAAUUUUAAAGUUCUUCAGUUUCUUAUUAGUUGUUACAUGUCUGGAACCGGCACAGUGGGCAUAAGGAUCUGAAAUCUGGUGUAACUAAAUUAGAGUAUUCUUCAUCCAUCUAGUUUAGCUUGAAGUUGGAAGUAACUUCCAAAGGCACCAGGGUAGAGACAAAUUUGCAUCAAUGCAUGGCAUCUAGCAUAAGUACUUCUCUAUACAGUUUACUGUUUUGCAUCAAUGCAUGACAUCUAGCACAAGUAAACUUCUCUAUACAGUUACUGUGUUGUAUACUCUUUCUCAGUGCAUGAAGGCAAAAAUUGGAAUUUACUGUUUCUUGCUUUAUUUCAUCUGUAGAUGAGGACACCACAUCUAUAAAUUGAAGUUCUUGCAGAGUUAUAUGCAAACCAAUGAGGUUGUGAGGACCAUUGUUAUAUGAAAGUUGAGAAUUUGUGCAGGCUUUCAAGUAGAGGUUUUUUCUUGAUCAUUGGGGAUAGAUCACAAUAAGUAGAUAUGAAGUUCAUGAAACUUGGAACAAGGCCAGAUACUUUCUACAGUGAACAAGCUACCAGAUGAUAUGGAGGAGAGAGAGCCGCUAAAAUUCCCGACAAAAUAUAACAUUCAAACGGGCAAGAGGUGGCUGAUUCAGGGUAGCCAGUCAAGGGAUUCAUUGGUGUUAAUUUAAGUAUCAUUUUAAUCAUUUUUAGAUUUUUAGAUUCUUAAAAGGGAGUAUAGAUGUUUUGUGUUUUACAUUUUUAGUACAAUUAAUGUGUAAGCCUGACUGAGUAAGGCUUUGUUUGUUAUUGUUCUUGUUGUUGUUUGUCGUGAGUGAUCCGUGUUUGGUAGAUUGAUGAAUUUCAGUUGCCUGCUGAUCUGUGUAGUUAAUGUCAUCCGGUAAGAUAAAUAAAAGUUGUGUUGUUGUGUGUGGUAGAGUAAUUGGUGUAAGUGAUUUUUGUGGUGAAAGUUUUGUAGCUCUGGCUAGUGUACAUACUUUUUGUUUUAGUUUCUGAAUUUUGAAGUGUGACCAGGUGGUUUAAGUGAACUUGUGUAAGUGAUGUUUUGGGGCAAGUGUUCCUGAAUUCUAAACGCUAGUUUAGUAUUGAGUUUGAGGAAUGAAUACUGGUUUAAGUGCAUGUUUUAUGUCUCACCUUGUGCCUGUUUUAAACCAUUUAUUGACUACUUAUUUUGUUCUCCAGAUUGUUUAGGUAGGCGGUUGGGACCGAGGCUUCUUGGGAGGGCUGAUGAUUCAGGGGUAAAUAACAAGUUGGUCAAUGCUUUAUUAUUUUGGUUGUCUGUGCAAGAUUUACAUACAGAACUACUUCAUACCAGGAUCCUGUUGUAGAGGUAAAUUAGUUAUUACCCUUACAUACAUAACUAUAGUUAUUGAUUAUUAUUUUGGUAAAACGUAUUUGGCCGCCGUUCAUGUUGUAAUCAUCCUUGAAGGCCAAACUGAACCCUAGCCUUCUCAUCUUGUAAGCUUUAUUUUUUCCUCUCUCUUUGAUUUUUCUAUGUGUUUCGUUUUCCCCUCUCUUUGCUACCUCUGUGGUUGGAGAUACAACAUUCUUGCAGUGUUCAGUUAGUAGCUUCUGAAUUCUGAUAUUGAUCACUUGCAGUGUUCAUGUUGCCUCUGUAGUUUUAGAGAUAUUUGUUAUUAUGCAUAAUUUAUUUUUCUUUAAAUUCAUCAGAUCUAUCUUCUUUCCCUCACUCCUAUGUUGGAAAUAGAAGUCCUGUAAAGCUGUUUAAUCUGUUUGCAUGCUCCUGAUUAUGAGAUGUAUACUGAAAUUAUAACCUAGAUUAACUAUGAACGUGCUGAUAUAAUCAUCUUGAAAUUGAAGAUGACCAUAGCAAGUUGUAAUUCAUUGUGAUCAAGGAUCAUGUGAAUGAUUUGAAUAUUUCCUCUACUUCCAGUGAGCCCUGAUUGUCUUCUCCAGCAAAGCUCAACUGUAGAAGAUUCAAUUUCUUUCAAAUUUUCUGAUGGUAUAACUGAAUCAGUUCCAUGCUCAUACACUGAAUUUGCCAAGCGACUGGUGUUGCCGCAGUAUAAAAAUUUACCUGACACAGUGGUUAAAGAGUUCCAUAGAAGAGAUGGUUUUGAGGUAGCAAGUGCUGACAAGAUGGCUAAGUCAUGCAUGGUUUAUUUUGAAAUGCAUCUAUCCCUAAGGAAAAAAAUAAUUACAAAAGCUUUUCAUGGUAGUUAUAGUAUCUACAAGGAAACUUUUUGUAACCAGGUCUAUUGCCUUUUUGUUUGAGUAACUGGACAUGCAGGUACGAUAAUUGGUAAUGAAGAUAUCGAUAGUAUUAGGUGGCUAGGUUCUGCAUGGAGACGUCUCAAGGGGUUUUAAGGUUUUCAUGUUUUGUUGAGGUGCAGGGGAAUUGAUGAUGUGGUGGUGAGAAUGAUGUAUGGGGAGUACAACUACCAGGAGGAUUGUUGUUGUUGAAGAUGACAAGGGAGCUGAAAGGGGAAUGUCGAGCUUCAAUUUUGAGUUACCCAAUUCCAAUUCAUGGUCAAGGUAAAGAGAAAAGUUAGUUAGUAUCCAUUUAAGGUAAAAAAAAAAAAGGAAGAUUUUACGUAUAAGCGGAGCUGCACAAAGGUACGUAGCAUUUAUGAUUUAACUGUUUGUUGGGUUGACUUGGUUUUCUUCAGUUUUAUAGAAGGUACUAAGAGGUAGGCAUGCUAGAUCCUUAUUGCUUGACUGUUGACUGUCCAAGCAUUCUGGUAAUACUAAUUUCAUAUGGCUUAUACUCAUUUCAAGCUUUCUGGUAAUACUCAUUUCAUAACGGCACUUAAAAUUUUUUCAAUUGGAUGGAAAGGCUACUUGUGUUUUACUGAUUUCAUAUGGCUUAUACUCAUUUCAUAUGAAAUUAACAAAUAUCUAGAAAUUUUGUUAAUGAAAGUCCGAUGACAUUUUAAAUCCAAUGUACAUCAUUCUACAGGAGACAAAGCUAUUGAUAUAAGGAGUAAGCACUACAUAGUAUAACCUAGGAUACAAAGCUAUUGAUAUAAGGAGUAAGCACUACACAUUGUGCUAUGAGGAGCACUUCAUGGAACAAGAAAGAAUUGCAAUAAAAUUCCAUUCUUAGCAUGUUAGUCACUUUUUUGAUCCAUUCUAUGUUAGUAUCACAUCACAACGUAGUCUGUAAUACAAAUGAAUAGGAAAGCAGGUAACUUUUUUUUUAUCAGG
Long non-coding RNA from Glycine soja, 5723 nucleotides. RefSeq lists it as uncharacterized. The record is from RefSeq and is a predicted model, not a curated record. NCBI's taxonomy places the organism in Eukaryota, Viridiplantae, Streptophyta, Magnoliopsida, Fabales, Fabaceae. The transcript has 11 exons.